RNAcentral lists this ribosomal RNA (497 nucleotides) under uncultured bacterium. RNAcentral describes it as "partial 16S ribosomal RNA". It matches the Rfam family "Bacterial small subunit ribosomal RNA", at positions 28 to 507 of the family's 1533-position model. The record is from RNAcentral.
GAUGAACGCUGGCGGCGUGCCUAAUACAUGCAAGUCGAGCGAACAGAUGAGGAGCUUGCUCCUCUGACGUUAGCGGCGGACGGGUGAGUAACACGUGGAUAACCUACCUAUAAGACUGGGAUAACUUCGGGAAACCGGAGCUAAUACCGGAUAAUAUAUUGAACCGCAUGGUUCAAUAGUGAAAGACGGUUUUGCUGUCACUUAUAGAUGGAUCCGCGCCGCAUUAGCUAGUUGGUAAGGUAACGGCUUCCCAAGGCAACGAUGCGUAGCCGACCUGAGAGGGUGAUCGGCCACACUGGAACUGAGACACGGUCCAGACUCCUACGGGAGGCAGCAGUAGGGAAUCUUCCGCAAUGGGCGAAAGCUUGACGGAGCAACGCCGCGUGAGUGAUGAAGGUCUUCGGAUCGUAAAACUCUGUUAUUAGGGAAGAACAAAUGUGUAAGUAACUAUGCACGUCUUGACGGUACCUAAUCAGAAAGCCACGGCUAACUACGUG